UGAGGAAUAUUGGUCAAUGGGCGCAAGCCUGAACCAGCCAUGCCGCGUGCAGGAAGACGGCCUUAUGGGUUGUAAACUGCUUUUACAUAAGACUAACCGUAUAUUUGCGAAUAUACCUGAAUGUAUUAUGAGAAUAAGGAUCGGCUAACUCCGUGCCAGCAGCCGCGGUAAUACGGAGGAUCCGAGCGUUAUCCGGAUUUAUUGGGUUUAAAGGGUGCGUAGGCUGACUGAUAAGUCAGCGGUGAAAAGCAUAGGCUUAACCUAUGUCUUGCCGUUGAUACUGUCAGACUAGAAUAUAAAUGGAGUAGGCGGAAUGAAUCAUGUAGAGGUGACAUUCAUAGAUAUGAUUUAGAACACCGUUCGCGAAGGCGGCUUACUAAGAUAUAAUUGACGCUGAUGCACGAAAGCGUGGGUAUCGAACA
RNAcentral lists this ribosomal RNA (422 nucleotides) under uncultured bacterium. RNAcentral's name for it is "bacterial SSU rRNA". It matches the Rfam family "Bacterial small subunit ribosomal RNA", at positions 355 to 774 of the family's 1533-position model. The record is from RNAcentral.